Molecule: unclassified non-coding RNA, 3979 nt
Organism: Acanthaster planci (crown-of-thorns starfish)
Lineage: Eukaryota; Metazoa; Echinodermata; Asteroidea; Valvatida; Acanthasteridae
Source: RefSeq, a predicted model, not a curated record
GUUCAGUCAAGUACACGUAUCAAGGACCGCCGUCGCACAGUACAUAUACAUAUACCCUGCACGCAACUCAGUGCGAUAUUUUGUCUCACGGUCACUAUACGCUUUGAGCUAGAGUAGUGCAUGCAGACAUUUUCAAAGCAGCGACGACAGCGAGCAGGGUACACUGCAGGGCGCGUGCGCCGGUCUAGGAAAAUAUGGCCGAGUACCUUAAACCACGCAAGAACUGUGCCAUUUUAGUCUUGACCUUUCUCUCUGUUGGUGUUGGUGUCUAUCUCCUGCAUGUAAAAUCCAACAGAGUUUCAACUACAGCCACAGACAAUUUCCCGCCUGUUCAGAAAUUGCGGCUUGUAGGAGCAUCUUCGGCAGGCACGCAGAAGGACGUUGCUGGGACGAUGGGUCGGAGCGGACCUCUCGGUCAGAGCGACCGGGACCAGGCCUUAGAAUGCGAGUUUGUCAUCGCCCAUUAUAACGAGGGACUGGAUUGGUUGAGGCCAUUUGCCAACCGCAGUCACGUGUACCACAAGGGGAAGGAAAAAGCCCCGCCCUUUGAAGUGUUCAAGUGGGAGAGGCUACCGAACGUGGGACGAGAAGGCCACACCUAUCUGUACCACAUCAUACAGAAUUACGACAAUCUUUCAAAUUUGACCAUUUUUCUCCAAGGGCAAGGACCCUUCAUUGACAAAUCCUGGUGUUUCCGUCAACCCACGGAUUACGUCACCAACGCCAAGAAGGGUGUCUUCUGCUGGGUUAGGGGCAAGUUCGGGGGCUGGGGUCGCAUUAAACACCUCGGAAAAUGGGUGACAUUGCUGAAGACCGGCGCGAUGCGAAGGGCCAAAGGCACCAUGGGUGACUUUUAUACCGCCGUGUUUGGUACCCCGCCCCCAGCCUCCGUACCCAGGUGUUUAGCGGGCUGCUUCUCGGCGACCAGGGCGAAUCUCAGGCGGCACCCGAUCAGUGUGUACCGACGAGCCAUCUCGUUUUUGGACGAUCACCUGAACCCGGAAGAGGGGCACUACAUGGAGAGACUCUGGUCGUCUAUCAUCAACGCCCAACCUCCGACCUGAGUCCUUGAUUUUCAAUACUCUCGGAAAAUGGACACGUUGAACACUUCUUCACUUCUUCACACUUUAUCUCUCAUCUUCAUAGUGGUGAACUCAUACAUCUGUAUUCCAACCAGCCCCAGUGAUCCGCCUCACCAACUCUGAAUUCAGGAGUAACACCUCUACCAACACGUCAAGCAACAGUCGCGAGAAAGAAAGUGCGAGCUCUACCGCCGCGCCUCCCCGUAUUGUAACCGUGGGCCCGCCCAGUCAGCCGUUGGACUACGAGUUUGUCAUCUCUCACUACAACGAGAAACUUGAUUGGGUGAAACCGCUUGCCAGUCACAGUCACGUGUAUCACAAGGGGAAGGACAAAGGACCGCCCUUCGAUGUCUACAAGUGGGAGAAGCUACCCAAUGUGGGACGUGAAAGCCACACCUAUCUCCACCACAUCAUACACAACUAUGACAAUCUUGCGGAUUUGACCGUUUUCCUGCAGGGCACAGGACCUUUCAAAGAUCCACACUGGUGUUUCCCAACGCCGAUGGACUUCGUCCAACACGCCAAGAAAAAGGAGUACUGUAAAAUCACGCAGACGUACGGCGGAUGGACGCGACUUCGCCACGUCAGCAAAUGGUUAAAGAUGCUGCAGCGAGGGGAGAUGCGGAGGGCGAACCUUACCACGGGCGAGUUUUAUCAGGCCGUGUUUGGUACCCCACACCCCGACACCGUGCCCGUAUGCCUAACGGCCUGCUUCUCAGCUUCGAGGGAGAAUCUGAGACGGUUCCCUGUGAGUUUGUAUGAGAGAGCCAUCUCAUUCGUGAAUGAUCAUUCAAACCCUGAGGAAGGUCAUUAUCUUGAGCGACUUUGGGCCACCAUCGCCAAUGCCAAAAGGAAUCCAUGACUGGUCAGCUUAUUUUAUUUCCUCGUCUUCACUGAUCCGUAGAGACAUGUGCAACGCAUAGUACUUAUUAAACAAUCCCUUUAUAGAGGGUUUGCAUGGCAGCCAUCUUGCGGGGUAGUUCUUUUGAUCCACAGGGAAACCUCAUUGGCAGCCAUGAAAAUGUGCGUUCUCCUUCACUCAAGUGACGGGGCACCUCAGGUAACCAAAGAUAAUUCGUUUAUUGCUACAGAUUGUGCAUGACCGCCCAAACGCGUGACGACACCCCUUGUGAGCUCGAGUGAAGAAAUCGAACACGCUGGACCAAGCUCAACUCAAUCAAAAAUUGCAGAUGUUAUACGCAACACGAACCUCUAAAGUUUGUGAAUAAGCAUCUCCUCGAAAGGACCCUCCUGAAAAUCUACGCAAUCAAUGUGAACAGGUUUGGUUUUAUAUAUACUCCAAAAAAUUAGGAAAUUCGGUAUGGAAAUAACAGUUUAUAAUAAUACCGUAAAAUACAAAAUAAUAUGAAAUGUGCAUUUUGUUUAACCACAAUGACGAAUAACUCCAUUUCAAACUUCCCCGCGCUUGUGUGCGACUUCAAGCCCCUUGUUCGUCGACUAAUAUACCAAGAAGUCCUGUAUGGCAAGCCUAACACGUUCUCCGCCAUGGACAUUUGCUGCGUUCUGUUUGUAGGAGCGUUCCUAGCAGACACGGCACAUGUCGCCUGCCAUGCGUUUGCGACAUCAACUUUGGUAUAAACAUCAACGAACCGAUGAGUACACUUUAUAUUCCGAUCGGGAGUUUUUGCGGCCAUUUAGGUACAUUCAACUCAAGGAACAGGUUGGCACGAUGUUGCAGCCAAGUGUUGUUUACUUUCUUAAUUAUCGUAAACAGACGGUUCUCAGAAAGCACCGUCUCUAGGUCUUUUCGGUCUCACAAAGUGACAAAAACUUCCCCAGUACCAGGGCAAAAUAGAGACCAACCACAGCUGGUCGAGUCAAGAUGUGUGUGUUGCGCAUGGGUGCGAACGAUAUCGAACACGAGCACCUGGGCUCACGUUUAAUGUACAAUGUAUCGAUUUUUUCGUGCGCGUUUAAUCUCACCAAGUGACACAACUGUGCAAUGCAGUAGGGGAAAACGUUAGCAAAACCUCCAGGUAUAUAUUACAGACUAACGAAGUGUAAACAAAAAACUUUUUUAAUGAAUUACUGUUUAAUUAAAACAGGAAAUCUACAAAUUAAUCUGGAUUAGCGUUUUCAAACUUUUCCCUGCAUGACUGUGCCCAAACUCCCCAAUUCGUAAAAUAAAAGUGGUGGAAAAUGUCGGAUGAAAUAGGUCAUAUUUUGAAAAAGCCUUUUUCUUGGAUGGCUGUGUUGCACGAUGGGGGGGGGGUCACUUUGUGAGAUCAUUGACGAUAAGUGGCCAUAAAUGGGGCGUGUUAUACAUGGCGAAUACGGGCGAUUCACAACAGUGCACCUCCUGGAUUUUGCAACGCGUUGGCCAAUCCCAACGCGCAACAUUUGUCGCCUUGAUUCGUCAGAUUUCGUGCAUUGUGAUUGGCCAACGCGUUACAGUCUCUAGGAGGCGCACUAUUGUGAAACGCCCGUAUUCGUGGUAGUUUGGAAGGCUACUUUUAGCUAACAGAUUAUUUUUAUCAUACCAAAAUAACCGUGUAUGCUUGUUGCGUGAGAACAAACCGUUGGCAGGUACAAUUACAUGUGUCUGAAAAAUAAACUCGAUCAAGCUGGAGUUAAAUCCAUCUGUUCGUGGUCAUGUUUCAGGCAAGUUUUGAGAAAAAAGGCACAUGCUUCUCCAAUAUUUUAUGCAUAGAUAGUGGCAUUUACUCUACUGUAGAUCAACUGGCGUCCCAUCCAUCAAGAGUCAAAAGUAGUACCAUUUCAGCUGAAUCUGUUCCCCAAUCAAGGUGGGCUUUCACUAAUUAAUGAAAAAUCCAUUGUAGCAUAUCAUACGCUGUAUUUGGAAACUUAUUAAUGAAAUAUUCCCGUGUUCUUUUUACAUGGUUUUGGGAAUAAACAAGUAUUUAUUUUGCAAAUGA